RNAcentral lists this ribosomal RNA (397 nucleotides) under uncultured bacterium. Its description in RNAcentral is "partial 16S ribosomal RNA". It matches the Rfam family "Bacterial small subunit ribosomal RNA", at positions 523 to 918 of the family's 1533-position model. The record is from RNAcentral.
AUACGUAGGGGGCGAGCGUUGUCCGGAAUGAUUGGGCGUAAAGGGCGCGUAGGCGGCCCGGUAAGUCUGGAGUGAAAGUCCUGUUUUUAAGAUGGGAAUUGCUUUGGAUACUGUCGGGCUUGAGUGCAGGAGAGGUAAGUGGAAUUCCCAGUGUAGCGGUGAAAUGCGUAGAGAUUGGGAGGAACACCAGUGGCGAAGGCGACUUACUAGGCUGUAACUGACGCUGAGGCGCGAAAGUGUGGGGAGCAAACAGGAUUAGAUACCCUGGUAGUCCACACUGUAAACGAUGAAUGCUAGGUGUAGGGGGUAUCGACCCCUUCUGUGCCGCAGUCAACACAAUAAGCAUUCCGCCUGGGGAGUACGGCCGCAAGGUUGAAACUCAAAGGAAUUGACGGGG